Non-coding RNA from Taeniopygia guttata (zebra finch), 1282 nucleotides. Lineage: Eukaryota; Metazoa; Chordata; Aves; Passeriformes; Estrildidae. The record is from RefSeq and is a predicted model, not a curated record.
CUUAAUUUAAAUUGCACCAAAAAGCCGGGUAAGGAAACUCAUUUGAUACUCUCAAACCAGCAACUUUCCCAGCAGAGGUUUAUACACAGGAAUGGAGGACUAAAACAAAACACCUAAUUCAGUGCAUCCAGUUCCUUAUAGUCUUGUAAUAAACACAUGGAGGAAAAUAAAACAAAUUUCAUGUCAUCAGCACACUAGACUAAACAUUGCAGCAUCUCCAUUAAGUGCUGCUGUUCUGUCUUAAUAAACAAACAAAAAAUUCCUCCCAAAACCAAACACCACCACCCUCACCCCAAAGAACAACUAUUGGAUUCCAAAGGGAACAGGAAGUUUCAUGUUUCAUAAAAGCCCAAAUAUUCUUUGGGAAACAGUGGUAGAACUCAGUAACCUCCAGUACCUCUCCUCUUCCAUCUCAUCAUUUUAUUGAUGGUCAUUAAGUAGAAACCAGUACUCAUUAUCUUUUCUUAUCCAGUAAGUGAAGAGGAUGUAUUUUACCCAAAGAAAGCUUUAAAUGGCAAACUGAUUUCUUAAAAGCUAUCUAUUGCCAGGCUGAUAGGAGGGUCCUCUACUUCCUAUUUACUCUCCACAACUCUUGGUUUUUGUGGGCAUGCUAUGUGCAGAAAAGAGCAAAGCACUGAUCUUUACAUUGCCAUCAACUUAAAACUGAUGUUAAAGAAGAUACCUGAAAUGCCUGUAUCCUUUUAUAUGUAUUCUUCAGAUUACCUCUGUAGAGUGAGACUCAUCCACUGUUCCUGCCCAAGAGGCUGAAUAUAAUUACACAGGAGCUAUGAUUCUGCAAGUUCUGGUGUUCAAACUAGAAAAUGUCAGUACUGAGGUUUUUCAUGUACAGUUGCUGCAAGUGGUUCCAGUUCACAGAAGACUGUGCAGACUGUCUGCAGCAGGAGUCAAAAACACAGGAUAAAAUGCAGUUCACUGUUCACAAUUCAGCUGAAUAAGCCUCUGCAAAAACUUCCACCAAAGAAUUUUCCAAUAACAUCAUCAUGUAGUACCAGGAAACCAUCAGCAUCCAGAAUACAGAUAACAGCAGGAGAACAAGGAACUCACACUCACUUGAGGAUCCUUAAGGAAGUUGUGAGUGUUGACACAGCCAGUUAAGGUGUUGUUAUGAGCACUUCUUUUGAAUGUGGAAAGCAGAGCAUUAGUAAAAGUAUGAAGUUUCUUAUUUCUUUUAUCUGAGCUCCAGAGUUACAUAUGCUAAAAUAACUUCUAAAUUAAAAGAUACACAUUGUAUACAAAUGAAUAAAAAUACAGCUCUAACUUA